GCCGGAGUGGCGGAAUUGGCAGACGCGCACGACUCAAAAUCGUGUGGUGGCAACAUCAUGGGGGUUCGAUUCCCUCCUUCGGCACCA
This 87-nucleotide transfer RNA is filed under the name Candidatus Shapirobacteria bacterium. Its description in RNAcentral is "tRNA-Leu". It matches the Rfam family "tRNA". From Rfam's summary of the family: Transfer RNA (tRNA) molecules are approximately 80 nucleotides in length. Their secondary structure includes four short double-helical elements and three loops (D, anti-codon, and T loops). Lineage: Bacteria; Candidatus Shapironibacteriota. The record is from RNAcentral.